Sus scrofa (pig) is the source of this 359-nucleotide non-coding RNA. Lineage: Eukaryota; Metazoa; Chordata; Mammalia; Artiodactyla; Suidae. The record is from RefSeq and is a predicted model, not a curated record.
UCAGAACUCUGCAGUUCAGGCCACGUGUUUAUUUUGAAUCCAGGUGGGAGGAUGGGAGGAGGAACGAGAGGAGGCGGGGCGCAGGGAUUGUGGUCCCUUCGAAUCCGAAGUCCUGGCGGGCGUGGUCUGAGGCCGUGGUUGUGCCUGCCUGAGAUGUUGAGGUCCUUUCCUGCGACGCUGAGCCUGCAAUCCGCCGCGGGCCACCGAGUUCAAAUCUCAUCUUCACCAAAUUUUGUGACCUUGGCAAGUCAGAGAGUGCCUCAUUUUUCGUAUCUCCAUUAUGGGGAGUAUAAAAGUAUCUACCAUGUUACAGGGAUUAACAUGCGUAAAAAACUUGGAAUUCUGCCUGGCAGAGAGAA